This is a long non-coding RNA of Daucus carota subsp. sativus, 2473 nucleotides long. RefSeq lists it as uncharacterized. NCBI's taxonomy places the organism in Eukaryota, Viridiplantae, Streptophyta, Magnoliopsida, Apiales, Apiaceae. The transcript has 2 exons. The record is from RefSeq and is a predicted model, not a curated record.
AAACCCCGGGUUAUUGUGUUAUUGAUAAAUAAUCGUAUUUUCAAAACUGAUUUUCAUAUAUUGUUUUGAAAAUUCUGUAUGAAUAUUAUGUGAAUAUAUGUGUGUUAUGUGAUUAAGUGGUAUUGGUGAAUUUGUUUGUUAAUUAGUUAUGAUUAAUUAUUAAUAUUAUAUGAUUAUUAUAUAAUUUUGUGAAUUUUGUAUUAUCUAGUUUACAGAGCUGAAUGCUCAUAUGUGUUCGUAUUUGAGAGAUUUCAAUUUCUAUAUGCUCAGGAGAAAAUAUAGUUUAUUUGGAUAUUUUCAUAUCGAUUUAUGGAAUGUUAGAUGAUUUUAUAAUCGAUUUACGGAUUUAAUUGCGUAUAUUUAUAUUUAUUUAUUAAUUAUUUGACUUCCGUAAAUCCGUCCACUCGUAACGGGGUAGCAAAUUUUCUUCCCGGAAGUUUCAACAAAACUCACCUUUAGCCUAAUUUCAAUAUUCCGGACAUUUUUCGUGUUUUGACUUUUUCGAUCCGGAGUACGGUUUUCCCCGUAGUCGGUCCGGCGGAGUUUUUCGGGUAUUUUAAUUGUUGAUAAUUAUCUGGUUGUCUCGAUAAACGUGAAACUAGAUAUUUUGAUUCAUCCUUAUCUUGUAAUAAUUGCAGUGGGACCCGCAUACUAAUGACUGAUUAAAAAGCCCCGUUUUGAUGAUUAUCUUGAAAACCAGUACCGAUUGGACCCUGCUUUAUUAAUAUAAAGCUACUAAAUAUGUAUUUUCAUGUCAUAAACGAUCCAAAGGGGUACCAAUUAUUGUAAAUAUAAAUAGACCUUUCUAGAGCUUAUUUUCACCCGUAAAAAUCAUUUCACCAGUUUCUCUGCACGAAUACCGAGAGAAACCGAGCAGUGUUCUUCGUGUUCUUCAUAAUCAAACGAAGAUUUGAAGGUGUUAUUGGAGUCAGAAUCAAGCGUGCAAAUAGUCAAAUCGAAGAUAUCGAAGAGUAGAACCCAAAUCAAUCAUCAAAAACAACAUGAGAUUCACAGGAUUUGGACGAGACGUGGAUGACCGAAGACGUUCAGAAGGACAAGUGGUGUUCUAAAGCGAAUAAAGAAUGAGUCGAGUAAGCGAAGUGGUGUGGCGAAUAGGGUAUAGCCAGAGAUGGUCUAGAGACUAUGAUAUGCAUAGAGUAUGAGAUUGGAAAGAUGAGAUAGAGAUGUGAGACUGGAGUCAGAUUUAAGGCAAGUAUCCUGCACCCUGCUUUUGGAUAUAUUGCAAAUAUUCUGAUUCAUUCUUUUGAUGUGCUGCAAGUAUCCUAAACCCUUUCUCUUGGAUAUAUUGCAAAUAUUCUGAUCCAUUCCUUUGGUAUAUGUUUCAAGUAUUCAUACCUUUCUUUUCAAUGUUCGAAAGUGCGAGUAUUCUGACCCAUUCUUUCUAAUCUUCAAGUUUCUAAAGAAUUUCCGUUUUACAAAUUAAUUCGAAGUUCAGAUUGUCAUUGAAGCAUGUGUUGCUCAGUGAUAGUUAGAGCUUUGAAUGAAUUGGGAUCUUCUUGAUUAUUUAACCCGCCAUUGUCAUUCUGGUUUAGCAGGCUAAAUUCAGUUGCUUAGCCGAUAAUGGAGGAUACUGAAUAGUUGAGGAUUUCCUGAACUGUGAUUUAUGAAAUGAUGGAUCAUGAUUUAUGAAUAGAUUAUUAUCAAAGUUUGAAUUGGAAUUAUUCUGUUGUUGAUGAUAUUUAUGAUGAUGUUCUGUUAAUUUACAUUGGCUUCUUGAAUUGAAUUAGAGAAUUGGAUUAUUGUUUUUAUAUAAACCUGUGGAUCAGAUUCGUGGUCAUGUUAGGCCAAUGAGUGCCUUGGAUCCAGUGAUAGAGCAUGGCGGGGCCUGCUCGGGGUUAGUGCGGAACUGAUCAGCUGCCUAACCUUGGUUUUAAUUAAAAUGUGAUAGUCCAAUUCAAUAAUUCUUCUGGAAAGAUUGAAUUCUUCGGUAUUCCAUUGAUGCAAGGUAUUGUAAAUCUUUUUAUACAAUACCGGAACUUGUGAACUCAGGUUGAAUCUUUCUAUAUCUUAAACUUAUGAACUCCUGUUAUAUCAUUUCAGAAUUUUCAUUGUUUAUUUACUACUUGCUGAGCAUUGUUGCUCACCCUUGCUUUUCCCUUCUAACCAUUUCAGAAAGGCUGAAAGAUGAAAUGAUUGAUUGAGAUCGUGAAUAAGGCUAAUGCUAGGCGAGGAGACAGAGUUGAGAAUCAAGUGGUCGAGGAGUGUUCAGGAAAGUUGAUGAGGUUGGUACAAGCUAGAGCUGUGCUAUAGAGAUUCAGAUGUAAGUCAUGGCUGGAAUAGAUUGGCAGUAAUUCUUCUUAUCGAAGAUGAUCUGAUUUGGUAAGAGAUGUUGUGUAAUAAUAGUGGUAGAUUCUAAUUUCAAUACUGUAACCUGGAUGCGAUCCUGUGCUUUUAGGGGGUUUAAAUGUUCUCUUUCGAAUAAUUUAUUAAAGUUUAAAUGUUUUCUUUCAAA